UUCGAUGCCAUUUUUAAUAUUAAUUUAAAAUUAAAGUAUAACAAAAAUCUAAAUUUUUGAUCAAUGAUGAAAGAUAAAUAGCAAUUGUAUAUAUAGAAAUGGAAAAAGAAACAAUCCUUACUUUUGAAAUGACGAUAUUUAUUGACACGAAGUAGAGAUUGUAAGAAAAAGUGAUAAUAAAAAGUACAUUUUUGAGUACAUUAUAUUUUUCGAGUCAGUAUGAGGAAAGAUAUAGCGUAAGACAUUGCGUUUCUUUAAAAUAUAGUAAUGAAUAGGGGAAAAAAAUUAGAAUAUGUCAUUGAAUAAUUUUGAUAUCGAGCAUACAUCGAAAUAGAAUGAAUUUAUGGAUAAUAGUAAUGAUGAAAAAUCUAUGUCUGGGAAUUCUCUAGCUUCAAAAUUAUCGGAAAAGAUUGAUAAAUAUGGUGUCAAUGAAUCUUAAAACAACGGAUGAAAAUAAUAAAAAGAAAUACUUGAAUGGUAUCAUAAGUAGCAAUGACAUAACGAAGUGAUACUAAACGAUGAUUCAAACAAUCAUUUAAAAAAUGAAAAAUUCGAAGUAAAAUACAAUUAUCUAUCUAUUUUUAACAAUCACUAUCGAUAUAUCUUUAACAAACUUGUCAAUGUGAUGGAUACUCAAAAAAAAAAAAAAAAAAAAAGAAAAAAAAAGGAAAAAAAAAAGAAAAAAAAAAGAAGAAAGAAAAAGUAAAAGGAAAUACUUCAUCCUAUCGUUAUUACAUAUUUUCAUUUUAUUUAAUAUUACAAUAAUAAAUAAACAAAAAAACAAUUUUCAAUUAAUAUUACUCUAAUAAUUCAUAAGAUCCGUUAUUUUGACGGGUUUAAAAGUUUUAACGUUAAUCUACUUAAAAUGUAAAAAAUAUAUCAUUAGAAUGCAAAUUUAGCUGAUUUAAAAGAUAAUAUAUUUCUUCUUUUUUUUUUUUUUUUUAAAGUUACAUAUUUUUAACACGAAUCACAUUUUGACGUUAAUCGAUGUAACGAUUUGCAUAACUAUACUUGAAGCAUCGAUAAUUGGUUUUUAGAGAGGAAUAUGGGAGCUACUGGAUUUUUAUAAUAAGAUGAUAAAUGCAAAUUUAACGAUAUUAUUUAUAAGCGUCUUGUAAGGGCUUCGAUGUGUACGAAAUUUAUUAGCACCCGCCAUUUUAUAUAAAUAUCGACAACUAUAAUCGUCUCUUCCUAUUCCUAACUUUAUUUAAACGAGUGAGUACAAAAAAUUAGCAUAUAUGUAUCAAUCAAUAAGGAAAGUAACAUAGAUAUUAUGUAAUGUAUUAUCACGCGCAUUAAGUCGUUUAAUCAGAAUUAAAUCUUAUAUAUUUGUAAAACUUUGACGAAUUAUUAAAUCAUAUACGAUAUGAUAUAUUUAUAAAACUAAAAUGAAUCAUUGGCUGAUACUUGGAUUACUUUAUAAAAAAUGUUGUAAUCUAAGCGAUCUUUUCCCGGUUCUUUUUUUUUUUUUUUUUUAAUUGCCUUUUUUCCCUCUUUUCUUAUUUCCUCCUUUCUUAUUUUUUCUUUUUUUUCUCCCCCCCGUAUAGACUUGCGUAAUAAUCAUUUCUCGAUAUGAAUGGAAAUUCCGUCCUGGUACGAUGAUACGACAACGAUAUAAACAAUAUAAACAAUAUAAAUAACUGAACGAUAAGAUUGAGAGGGAUGGUAUUUUUGAAAGAAAAUAUAAAGUACCGUGAUAAUUGACGAUGAGCGUGUAAUUUUUCUUGGAAAAAAGACUUUAUUAUUGCACAAAAGUGCAAACAAAGUAGUGACCGUUCACUACUUUGUUUGCACUUUUGUAGAUUUAAUUGAUUAUAUUAAGUUUUGUCAUGACGAACGUGAUGAAGUUGCGUAUUUCUAAAGAAUAUGAUGUGCAUUUUACAGAUUUGUUUCCUUUAUACAGAAUAUAUCCAUAUAUAGAUGUAAAAGCAAAUAUU
Vespa velutina is the source of this 1937-nucleotide long non-coding RNA. RefSeq lists it as uncharacterized. The transcript has 3 exons. Lineage: Eukaryota; Metazoa; Arthropoda; Insecta; Hymenoptera; Vespidae. The record is from RefSeq and is a predicted model, not a curated record.